RNAcentral lists this transfer RNA (69 nucleotides) under Charadrahyla nephila. RNAcentral describes it as "tRNA-Val". It matches the Rfam family "tRNA". From Rfam's summary of the family: Transfer RNA (tRNA) molecules are approximately 80 nucleotides in length. Their secondary structure includes four short double-helical elements and three loops (D, anti-codon, and T loops). Lineage: Eukaryota; Metazoa; Chordata; Amphibia; Anura; Hylidae. The record is from RNAcentral.
CAAAACGUAGCUUAAAAAAAGCAUCUCGUUUACACCGAGAAAAUACCUGUUAAAAUCAAGUCAUUUUGA